AGCGUAUUAGCUCAAAUGGUAGAGUAAUGUGCAGUUGCACAUGGAUGUAGGUUCAAGUCCUACAUGUGCUA
Beta vulgaris subsp. vulgaris (sugar beet) is the source of this 71-nucleotide non-coding RNA. The record is from Rfam. NCBI's taxonomy places the organism in Eukaryota, Viridiplantae, Streptophyta, Magnoliopsida, Caryophyllales, Amaranthaceae.